Drosophila grimshawi is the source of this 278-nucleotide RNA transcript. RefSeq lists it as uncharacterized. NCBI's taxonomy places the organism in Eukaryota, Metazoa, Arthropoda, Insecta, Diptera, Drosophilidae. The record is from RefSeq and is a predicted model, not a curated record. The transcript has 4 exons.
AACCACAACAAAAGCGGAAAAGGAUGCGGUGGAUAGAGUGAACUGAAGUGCUCCUUGCAGCCGAAACGGUAAACAGCUAGAGAGGAGGAUAACCGGUAACGAGUAACCAGUAUCCAGUUACCGGUAAACGUUAACCGUUAACCGGCACCUGUAAAUAUUUGGAAGCCCACAGGAAACUUAUGCACGUUACAGAGGACGACUAAGCCAAGUCUGAUUAAACCGAUAAAGCUCUUGUCAAUUUUGAGCACUAACAAGCGGUUAAAGGCAAAGCCAGCAGC